This 520-nucleotide unclassified non-coding RNA is filed under the name uncultured Entrophospora. Its description in RNAcentral is "SSU rRNA". It matches the Rfam family "Eukaryotic small subunit ribosomal RNA", at positions 569 to 1083 of the family's 1831-position model. Lineage: Eukaryota; Fungi; Glomeromycota; Glomeromycetes; Entrophosporales; Entrophosporaceae. The record is from RNAcentral.
AGCAGCCGCGGUAAUUCCAGCUCCAAUAGCGUAUAUUAAAGUUGUUGCAGUUAAAAAGCUCGUAGUUGAAUUUCGGGAUUGGCGCAUCGGUCGUGCCUCACGGGGUAUGAACUGGUGCAGUCAAUUUCUCACCUUCCGGAGAACCGCGAUGUCCUUAAUUGGAUGCCGCGGGGAACCAGGACCUUUACUUUGAAAAAAUUAGAGUGUUUAAAGCAGGCAUUUUUGCUUGAAUACAUUAGCAUGGAAUAAUAAAAUAGGACGGCAUGGUUCUAUUUUGUUGGUUUCUAGGACCACCGUAAUGAUUAAUAGGGAUAGUUGGGGGCAUUAGUAUUCAAUUGUCAGAGGUGAAAUUCUUGGAUUUAUUGAAGACUAACUACUGCGAAAGCAUUUGCCAAGGAUGUUUUCAUUAAUCAAGAACGAAAGUUAGGGGAUCGAAGACGAUCAGAUACCGUCGUAGUCUUAACCAUAAACUAUGCCGACUAGGAAUCAGACGAUGUUAAUUUUUUAAUGACUCGUUUGG